UACGGAGGGGGCUAGCGUUGUUCGGAAUUACUGGGCGUAAAGCGCACGUAGGCGGAUGCUCAAGUCGGGGGUGAAAUCCCGGGGCUCAACCCCGGAACUGCCUCCGAUACUGGGUGGCUGGAGGAUGAGAGAGGCGAGUGGAAUUCCGAGUGUAGAGGUGAAAUUCGUAGAUAUUCGGAGGAACACCAGUGGCGAAGGCGGCUCGCUGGCUCAUUUCUGACGCUGAGGUGCGAAAGCGUGGGGAGCAAACAGG
This 253-nucleotide ribosomal RNA is filed under the name uncultured bacterium. Its description in RNAcentral is "partial 16S ribosomal RNA". It matches the Rfam family "Bacterial small subunit ribosomal RNA", at positions 524 to 776 of the family's 1533-position model. The record is from RNAcentral.